UGGGUUAUAGCUCAGUGGUAGAGUGCAUGCCUAGCAUGCAUGAGGUCCUGGAUUUAAUUCCCAAUACCUCUG
This 72-nucleotide transfer RNA is filed under the name Camelus bactrianus (Bactrian camel). It matches the Rfam family "tRNA". From Rfam's summary of the family: Transfer RNA (tRNA) molecules are approximately 80 nucleotides in length. Their secondary structure includes four short double-helical elements and three loops (D, anti-codon, and T loops). The record is from Rfam by way of RNAcentral. RNAcentral also lists the same sequence under 2 other names. Lineage: Eukaryota; Metazoa; Chordata; Mammalia; Artiodactyla; Camelidae.